Molecule: ribosomal RNA, 323 nt
Filed under: uncultured bacterium
Lineage: Bacteria
Description: bacterial SSU rRNA
Rfam family: Bacterial small subunit ribosomal RNA
Source: RNAcentral
GACGAACGCUGGCGGCGUGCCUAAUACAUGCAAGUCGAGCGAGCGGAACCAACAGAUUUACUUCGGUAAUGACGUUGGGAAAGCGAGCGGCGGAUGGGUGAGUAACACGUGGGGAACCUGCCCCUAAGUCUGGGAUACCAUUUGGAAACUGGUGCUAAUACCGGAUACGAUCUGAGGAUGAAAGCGGGGGACCUUCGGGCCUCGCGCGAUUGGAGCGGCCGAUGGCAGAUUAGGUAGUUGGUGGGAUAAAAGCUUACCAAGCCGACGAUCUGUAGCUGGUCUGAGAGGACGACCAGCCACACUGGGACUGAGACACGGCCCAG